UAGUUAUAAUUACCAUUUCAAUACAACAGAACAAAAGUCUCUAUGUUGACAGAAACAAUAUCAAAGUGGAACACAGGCCUCAUACUAUCAUCUAGAAUGUCUCAAUUUCACAUUCUCUUUGGAAAUACAGAGGAUUUUUCACUUCACUUUUCCUUUCCAGAACAUCCAACAAAACAUUUAAAUCAGUUAGUAAAAAUAUACACAUAUAAGAGCAUUGAUUUUUUUUUUUGAGACGGAGGCUUAAAGAUUAUCUCUCAUUCAAUCCCCUUCACUUUUUUUUUUUACUUUUUAAUUUUUUUAAUGUUUAUUUUUAAGAGAGGAAGAGAGAACGUGCAAGCCUGUGCACACAUGUGGGAGAGGGAAGGGCAGAGAGAGGGAGACAGAAGAUCUGAAGCGGCCUCAACACUGACUGAAGCAGAGAGCCCUAUGCUGGGCUUGAACUCAUGGAACUGGGAGAUCAUGACCUCAGCUGAAGUCAAUGCUUAACCCACUGACCCACUCAGGCGCCCCAAUCCCCUUCAUUUUAAAGAUGAGAAAAUAAAACCAAGAAAGGGUGAUUCACCCAAGACCACACAAUAUAUUAAACAAGAAUUCCUCUAUUAUUUGUACCUAUGCCCCACAAAAUAGCCCAUUUUUCUAAAACAAUAGAAUAAAUUAUUUUGCAGAUCUACUGAAGUACCAUGCUACCUUCAAGACAAUCAGAGCAUUAUGACUACUAUCAACAAAGGAAACCUGAUUUGGCUGGUCAAGGAUGCAACUGAGGCCUUUGAUUUGAAAUGAACUCCCAAUAAACAUGGUAAACUUGAAGUGACAUGAUCCCUAAGCAUACUACAGUAUUUUGUUCUGAGACGGAAAAGCCUUGGAGUGUCAAAAACAACAGCACAACUCCACGUGUAUUUGGCCACUAUCUGCUGAAGAGAAGAGUAAUAUCAAGAAUAACAUGACCAUAUUCCUGUAUGUAAAGAUCAACUGACCAAGGGCAAAAAAGUUAUACAACUUUCUCAGUUGUCUACAGAUGCCAGUUACCUUCUGACUCCAACCCCAUCGUGUUUCCCACUGUUUCUAACAUAAAAGGAGCUCAAAUCUCAUGCUUGACUAAUAGGCGUAUUGUGUGGCAAGCAGAAGGAGCUUGGACUCAGUUACAAGGCAAUUUAUGAUUUAUUGUGCAUAUCUGAAAUUAAAAGCCAGAAGCAAACAAUUAUUUUAACAAGCUGUCAAGAUAUGCAGAGUUUUGCCAAAGAAACAUUGUUUAUACUGGUCUUUUGAACAAGAACUAAAACUUAGAAUUCCCUAAUCAAACCUGUUACACAAAAUUGUCAUAAAAUUCCUAUAAAGCAUAUGACUCACAAAUGCUAUCAAAAUCUUUCUUAAAUGUGACUGAUUUCCAAUAGAUUACCACAGUUUUAAAACUCUGAUAAUUUCCUGCCCAUUUUUCUUUAAGAUUUUAUUUUCUAUUGCUUGAAAAGAGAGGACAAAAGAGCAUCACAGGAUUAUCUACUAUUAUUAUUGAAUUUUAUUACAAUCUUGAAAAAAUACCCAACUGUUGACUUCCUGUUCCUCUGCCACUAAUCUCCCUGUGGCAGGUGCAACUCCAAUUCUCCAGAGUUGUAGGGGAAGGGAAAGAAAUCUAAAUAACAGGUUGCUACCAUUCUCUAAUUCAAAACCAACUUACUACUCUUUUUAUUUACUGCUAUCAUCUCCUCCUCCAAUAGUCCUGGGUCCCCUUGACACCAAUCUUUUCUAUAGCACUUAUCUCCUAAUACACCACAUAAUUCACAUUUUAAAUAUAUAUGUAUUUAAUUAUAUAUAUAAUAUAUAUUUAACUGUAUCUAUUUAAAUAAAUUAAUUAUAUUAU
Acinonyx jubatus (cheetah) is the source of this 1855-nucleotide long non-coding RNA. RefSeq lists it as uncharacterized. Lineage: Eukaryota; Metazoa; Chordata; Mammalia; Carnivora; Felidae. The transcript is spliced from 3 exons. The record is from RefSeq and is a predicted model, not a curated record.